CCCUUAGAUGUUCUGGGAUGCACGCGCGUUACACUGAUUCGUUCAACGAGUUUAUGACCUUGCCUGAUGAGGUGGGGGAAUCUUUUCAAAUCGCAUCGUGAUGGGGAUAGAGUAUUGUAACUGUUAGUCUUCAACGAGGAAUUCCUAGUAAGUACGUGUCAUCAGCUCGUACUGAUUAUGUCCCUGCCCUUUGUACACACCGCCCGUCGCUCCUACCGAUUGAGUGCUCAGGUGGAUAGUAUGGACUGCAUCAGUGUUCGGUCUCCGAAUGUUGACGCGAGAAAUUCUGUGAAUCUUAUUGCUUAGAGGAAGGAGAAGUCGUAACA
This 326-nucleotide ribosomal RNA is filed under the name uncultured eukaryote. RNAcentral's name for it is "partial 18S ribosomal RNA". It matches the Rfam family "Eukaryotic small subunit ribosomal RNA", at positions 1470 to 1796 of the family's 1831-position model. The record is from RNAcentral.